UACAGGGGGGGCAAGCGUUGUUCGGAAUCACUGGGCGUAAAGGGCUCGUAGGUGGCCAACUAAGUCAGACGUGAAAUCCCUCAGCUUAACUGGGGAACUGCGUCUGAUACUGGAUGGCUUGAGUUUGGGAGAGGGAUGCGGAAUUCCAGGUGUAGCGGUGAAAUGCGUAGAUAUCUGGAGGAACACCGGUGGCGAAGGCGGCAUCCUGGACCAACACUGACACUGAGGAGCGAAAGCCAGGGGAGCAAACGGG
This 253-nucleotide ribosomal RNA is filed under the name uncultured bacterium. RNAcentral's name for it is "partial 16S ribosomal RNA". It matches the Rfam family "Bacterial small subunit ribosomal RNA", at positions 524 to 776 of the family's 1533-position model. The record is from RNAcentral.